UUUUUUUUUGUGAGUAGAAUUAACGGAUCAAGAUCUUUUUCCUCACCUUUGUCCUUUGCCUGGUUGCUUGGUCCCUUACAAAGUCAAACACUUUAGAAAUAUUACAAGCUGAAAAAAAAUAGGGAUAAUUUCUUGUAUUGAGUAAAACAAAAAGCAACAAGAGCAAAUUAGAUCAGAAAAACUUAGUCAAAUUUUAUUAAAAAAAACAAAACAGACAAAUUUGACAUGUUAUCUUUUUACCAUGAUGCAGUUAUUAGUCUUGUUUUGCAACGAUAAAUAAGAGAUUGGAUCUCCUUUUUUGUAAGAGUCAUCUGAUUUCAUGAAAAGUGGCUCUGUCUACACUGUAAUGAUGUUGCCAAUUUGCACUUAGAUCAUGUCGGUAAGAUGUUAUAUUACCUUUGAGAGUGUAAUUACACUUGUCAGAUAUUUCAGAGUCUUUGUAGAAGCUGUGAAUGCCUGAGCUGUGUGGCGUGCAGAAUUAAUCACUAAAGAAUGAACACAUAGUGCUACUCUGCAAAGACACUAGGGACAUCUGUCAUUCAGAUGAGGAUGAAUGUAGGUCACCGUUUCUAGUGUCUUUGCUUAGCAGGGGCCUGAUUAAAGCAGCAACCUAUGGCCUAAGAUCUCUGCCCAGCCAUCUCUGCCAAGUUACACAACAUUUGACUUUUUUUUUUUUUUUUUCAGCUCUGAAGGCUGCGUGAUCCUAUAUCCCCCUGUCACCCUGAAUCCUUGCGCCGCGCCUCCUCAUCUACCACUUAAAAAAGCAGAGAUUGGAUUACCCAACUGUCAAUCAAUCAUCGGGGUGAUGAUACAAGCCCACCAUGAAACAUCCCAAACAGAUGGCCAGCCACUACCACACGCUUGCACCCCCACCCGGCCCUAACCCGGACCUAGUCCCUUGGUAAGAGACUGUAAGCUUCUUAGAUUUUUUUUCAUGCUUCUCACUAAUUUAGGUCUUUUCAUCAAAGCGAUCGUUGUGAUAUUAUUUGUACCUACAAUAACACUCAUGAUGCCUCCCUGUGCUCCCAAGUCAACACCUCUCAUUCUCUCAAUUUACAACAUUUAAUACUUCUGCAACAGAUGAGAAAUGUGCGAAAAUGUCUUAAUGAGUUCAUUAAUCCGUGGGUGUGCUUAAGACAAUAGCAUGCCAGGGGGCUGAGCGAUGGGUGUAUUUUAGGGCAGGGCAGCGACCCCCGACACCCAGGCCGGCAGGCAGCGGAGGAGGAGGCUGAGCCAGAGCAGGUGUCUCUGCUGACAUCUGCUUCAGUUCACUGGGGAAACACAAGCACCCUGCAGCUACAGCACUGACAAUGCCACUGAAGUGCCCAGGCUCCGUCUAAACAAGGUAGACUUUUUUCCACUUCUUCUUACAGCGCUGGGAUCAGCACUUUAGAAGCUGAUCCCUCAUUUGUACCGUUUUUAAAGGAUUUCUAUUUGAGGUUUUUCAGACAUUUAACAGUGUUUGCCCUUUUUCUGAUGGAGAUAUUUUACCGCAUUUGAUAUUUUGAUACCGCAUAUUUCAUACUUGGUUGUUCACUCAUUGGUCUGUCUUGCUUUUGACACUUUUCUGCGUUCCAUGUUUUUUUGCAAUGUGGCGGCUUAAUCCAUGAAAAAAAAAAGAGGCAUUUUUUAUGUCACAUAUUAAGAGGAUUCGACCCAGAUCUCUUACAAACAUUAAAGGAAGAAGUCUUUGGAUGUUCAGUCUCAUGCAAUAUUGAUGCUGUCAUGUUUACUCAUCAACCCACUUUCCUCUGAAUCCAAUCAGGCUGACAAGACAAACCCACAAGGCUGUUGAUUCAGAGGCGCUAUCGAUCCAAGUUUGCGUUCCACUGACCUGAGUGCAUUUUUAAAGACUUUGUUGUGUAAUCAAAGGCUCUGUGGAUCCCCUCUCUCCUCCCUGACCUGUGCUUAGCAGAUAUAGCAGAUGUCGCCUAUAUUUUGUUCUCGCAGCUUCUAUAUACAGCACUGACAGGCUUUUUCAUUAAAUUGGAUGUUUGCACUAAUCGGACAUUGAUUCUGCUGUGAGCUUCUCAAACAAUAUCUUAUUAUAGGAUAAAAUAUGAC
RNAcentral lists this long non-coding RNA (2064 nucleotides) under Xyrichtys novacula (pearly razorfish). The record is from RNAcentral. Lineage: Eukaryota; Metazoa; Chordata; Actinopteri; Labriformes; Labridae.